RNAcentral lists this unclassified non-coding RNA (2771 nucleotides) under Homarus americanus (American lobster). RNAcentral describes it as "adhesive plaque matrix protein-like, transcript variant X2". The record is from RNAcentral. Lineage: Eukaryota; Metazoa; Arthropoda; Malacostraca; Decapoda; Nephropidae.
CCCUGCCCGAGGAUCGAACUCGGGUCUGCUCGCUUGCAAGGCCAGGGUGCAGACCUAUUACACCACAUCACUAUACACUGCCAUACACAACACUACACACAAACAUACAGUAUACCGACGUAAACAUCACUAAAUACACAACUUCCAUAUACACACUACACACACUCAUACACUAUGGCGUGUCAUAAAGCUACCUCAAAACAUAAACACGAAGGCCACUUGAGAUGUCUUGUAAACACCAAAACCAAACACCUUUAAUGUGUGUGUGUGUGUGUGUGUGUGUACCAUAGAGAGAAAUUCAGAAGAAAGUCCACCAGCCAACGAUACAGACGAGAUUCAUUAUAUGUGACUGCACUGCGCAUGCGUGAGGAGAGUUACGGACCCAACUAGCGGGUCGUAGUGCGCCUGUGUGGGCUGGAGAACCCUGCAACCUGACUCAGACUGAUCUAGAGCGUCACCUAGCACUGACCUUACUUUGAACCAGCUGUGUUGUUGUGUCACCGAGUGUAUUUUACCUACCCAGGUCUUAGUAACCAAGGGACUAUAAAAUAACUGGUGUAUUCUUAGAGCUUUUGGACGAUUUGCUCGAAGAAGUGGCCGUGUGGUUAGCCCACUGGUACCACAACUGUACCUGCUGUAUCCACAACAUGAUUACCACAAUGUUGGUAGUUGCGGUUACAGUGGCUAGUGUGGUCAUGUAUGGUAUAGCUGAACUACUACCACAUUCCUUCACUGGCCACGAUGACUACCCCUGGCUACCACCCUACCUCUCACAACCGUCCUAUCCAGCCCAACCACCAUACCCACCACAACCCUCCUACCCCUCACAACCCUCCUACCCCUCACAUCCAUCCUACCCCUCACAUCCAUCCUACCCCUCACAUCCAUCCUACCCCUCACAUCCAUCCUACCCCUCACAAACAACCUACCCCUUACAACCAUCCUACCCCUCACAACCAUACUACCCCUCACAACCAUCCUACCCCUCACAAACAACCUACCCCUCACAACCAUCCUACCCCUCACAACCAUCCUACCCCUCACAAGCAACCUACCCCUCACAACCAUCCUACCCCUCACAAGCAUCCUACCCCUCACAACCAUUCUAUCCUUCACAACCUUCUUAUCCUUGGGAGCCAUACUACGACUGGCAAACAUACGAUUACUAUCCUUGGCAACCAUAUUAUCCUUGGCAACCAACCUACCCUAGCCAGCCGCCCUCUCCACCCCCGCAGACCAAUACGCCGCCUCAGGGCCCACCAGUAUGGCCCACAGGCAGAGCGGCUAUCACCAGAUCCCCGUCUAUAGCCGAGUGGCCUACUGGCAGGGCUACCAAAUCACCUUCUGUCCAAGUCUGGCCCACUGAGAAGAGAACCAGCACGUCCCCACUGACUACCACUACAACUACUACCACUACUACCAGACCUGUGUGGCCCACUGAGAAGAGGACCAAAAGACCUCUCUGGCCCACAGGACCAUCGCACACCGUCACAACUCCACCGGUCCCAGUAUGGCCCACUGGACCAUCGCGGACUGUCACACAUCCACCAACCCACCCCUGGCCAACUGAUGCUUCCCAGAUUGCUCCAAGCACUCCUCCUACCCCAAGGUGGCCCACUACAUACAGCCCUGAGUGGCCAACCAGUAGAUCACAGCCAACGACCCUUGCUCCUUUAUGGCCAACCAAUAAAUCACAGCUAACGACCCCUGUUGGACCUGUAUGGCCAACCUACAAACCACCCAGCAUCGUCACCACCACGCCCACAAGGCCCACCGCCACCACCAGUGAUCCAAACAAAAGGUGCAAGAAACUCUGUCUGGAUGAGACUGGUAAACGUCGGUGUUGUGAUAGAGAGGUGGGCGAGUGUCCAGACCGACCCAUCACGUGUAGCGCCUCGAAUUACUCUCCCCAGCCACGUUGCUUCAUUGACAGUCAGUGUGGAGCCCAAGAGAGGUGUUGUUUAGAUCCCUGUACUGAGAAGUUCAUCUGUGUCCGACUGUAACCAAGUCCAGACACUCCUCACCAAGUUCAAGGUCUACUACAAGUAGUCUAAAAACCCCUUACCAAGUCCAGGGUCUGCUACACCAAGUCCAGACCAAUCUGUAAACAUCAUAUACCUGUAACGUGUUGCUAUUAUUAUUAUUUUCAAUAUUAUUGAUUUUAUUAUUACUUAUUAUCACUAUUAUUAACACUACCAUCUUCCUUAUUUUGCAUUGCUUUAUAAGACCUAACUUUUAAUUAUUUCAGUUGAUUACUGUUAUAAUUACCAAUAAAAACACAAAGAAUGAUUUUAACAUGAGUUUAAUAAAAUAUUAUGUUGAGAUCCCGUGGAGUCGUCUCACUGAUUCAACAUUGUUAGACUGUACAAGUGUGGAAAGAAAACAAGAGUUGAAUCCAUCAGGUGAAAACUAACAGAUAAACAGAAGGUGAAACACAUACACAGGCCGAUGUGGCGAGGGAGACUAGGACACAGGCUAGGAUAGAUAGCAAUUAAUAAAUAAAUAUAAAUCAGAUGUGCUGACAGGUGUGUCGCUACCUGUGUAUGAUGAUUAUUGUUCGUAUUAAGUAUUAUUAGUAUACAGUAUCAUUAUUAUUAACAUUACUAUUAUAUUGCUGCUGUACUGUAUUAACAUUAUGAUCCACUAAAGAGUUCACCAUUACAUUCAAUAAACCUCCUAACAACCUCCAUUAUCAGCCUAAUACUCCCGUUAACACCACCACAAGCUGUAAAUCUUAACUAUAUAAGGACAAUAAACAUCGAUAAAGGAAA